CGCGUAGGCGGUUUUUUAAGUCAGAUGUGUAAUCCCCGAGCUUAACUUGGGAACUGCAUCUGAGACUGGAAGGCUAGAGUACUGGAGAGGGUGGUGGAAUUCCUCGUGUAGCGGUGAAAUGCGUAGAGAUGAGGAGGAACACCAGUGGCGAAGGCGGCCACCUGGACAGUAACUGACGCUGAGGCGCGAAAGUAUGGGUAGCAAACAGGAUUAGAUACCCUGGUAGUCCACGCUGUAAACGAUGAACACUUGGUGUGGAGGGAGUUGACCCCUUCCGUGCCGGAGCUAACGCGUUAAGUGUUCCGCCUGGGGAGUACGGUCGCAAGGCUGAA
RNAcentral lists this ribosomal RNA (332 nucleotides) under uncultured bacterium. RNAcentral's name for it is "bacterial SSU rRNA". It matches the Rfam family "Bacterial small subunit ribosomal RNA", at positions 568 to 898 of the family's 1533-position model. The record is from RNAcentral.